AACAGGAUUAGAUACCCUGGUAGUCCACGCAGUAAACGAUGAUAACUGGGCGUAUGCGAUAUACAGUAUGCUCCUAAGCGAAAGCGUUAAGUUAUCCACCUGGGGAGUACGCCGGCAACGGUGAAACUCAAAGGAAUUGACGGGGGCCCGCACAAGCGGAGGAACAUGUGGUUUAAUUCGAUGAUACGCGAGGAACCUUACCCGGGACUGAAAUGUAGAUGACCGCUCCUGAAAGGGAGUUUUCCUUCGGGACAUCUAUGUAGGUGCUGCAUGGUUGUCGUCAGCUCGUGCCGUGAGGUGUCGGCUUAAGUGCCAUAACGAGCGCAACCCCUGUCUACGGUUGCCAUCAGGUAAUGCUGGGAACUCCGUAGAGACUGCCGUCGUAAGGCGUGAGGAAGGUGGGGAUGACGUCAAAUCAGCACGGCCCUUACAUCCGGGGCGACACACGUGUUACAAUGGUAAGGACAAAGGGCAGCUACCUGGCGACAGGAUGCGAAUCUCUAAACCUUAUCACAGUUCGGAUCGGAGUCUGCAACUCGACUCCGUGAAGCUGGAUUCGCUAGUAAUCGCGCAUCAGCCAUGGCGCGGUGAAUACGUUCCCGGGCCUUGUACACACCGCCCGUCAAGCCAUGGGAGUCUGGAGUACCUAAAGUCCGUAACCGCAAGGGUCGGCCUAGGGUAAUACAGGUGACUGGGGCUAAGUCGUAACAAGGUAACC
This 718-nucleotide ribosomal RNA is filed under the name uncultured bacterium. RNAcentral describes it as "bacterial SSU rRNA". It matches the Rfam family "Bacterial small subunit ribosomal RNA", at positions 771 to 1501 of the family's 1533-position model. The record is from RNAcentral.